UACGUAGGGCGCAAGCGUUGUCCGGAAUUAUUGGGCGUAAAGAGCUCGUAGGCGGCUUGUCACGUCGGGUGUGAAAGCCCGGGGCUUAACCCCGGGUCUGCAUUCGAUACGGGCUGGCUAGAGUGUGGUAGGGGAGAUCGGAAUUCCUGGUGUAGCGGUGAAAUGCGCAGAUAUCAGGAGGAACACCGGUGGCGAAGGCGGGUCUCUGGGCCGAAAUUGACGCUGAGGAGCGAAAGCGUGGGGAGCGAACAGG
Molecule: ribosomal RNA, 253 nt
Filed under: uncultured bacterium
Lineage: Bacteria
Description: partial 16S ribosomal RNA
Rfam family: Bacterial small subunit ribosomal RNA
Source: RNAcentral